AUUGAACGCUGGCGGCAGGCCUAACACAUGCAAGUCGAGCGAGCGGCGGACGGGUGAGUAAUGUAUGGGGACUGCCCGAUAGGGGGGGAUAACUCCUGGAAACGGUGGCUAAUAUCCCAUACUGUCUGAUUAUCCAUAUGGGAUUAGCUAGUGGGUAUGGUAAUGGCUUACCUAGGCGACGAUCCCUAGCUGGUCUGAGAGGAGGAUCAGCCACACUGGAACUGAGACACGGCCCAGACUCCUACGGAGGCAGAAGUGGGGAAUAUUGCACAAUGGGCGCAAGCCUGAUGCAGCCAUGCCGCGUGUAUGAAGAAGGCCCUAGGGUUGUAAAGUACUUUCAGUCGGGAGGCGUUACCGACAGAAGAAGCACCGGCUAACUCCGUGCCAGCAGCCGCGGUAAUAC
This 403-nucleotide ribosomal RNA is filed under the name uncultured bacterium. RNAcentral's name for it is "partial 16S ribosomal RNA". It matches the Rfam family "Bacterial small subunit ribosomal RNA", at positions 30 to 526 of the family's 1533-position model. The record is from RNAcentral.